AGUCCACGCCGUAAACGAUGUCUACUUGGAGGUUGGUGUCUUGAACACUGGCUUUCGGAGCUAACGCGUUAAGUAGACCGCCUGGGGAGUACGGUCGCAAGAUUAAAACUCAAAUGAAUUGACGGGGGCCCGCACAAGCGGUGGAGCAUGUGGUUUAAUUCGAUGCAACGCGAAGAACCUUACCUACUCUUGACAUCCAGAGAACUUAGCAGAGAUGCUUUGGUGCCUUCGGGAACUCUGAGACAGGUGCUGCAUGGCUGACGUCAGCUCGUGUUGUGAAAUGUUGGGUUAAGUCCCGCAACGAGCGCAACCCUUAUCCUUGUUUGCCAGCACUUCGGGUGGGAUCUCCAGGGAGACUGCCGGUGAUAAACCGGAGGAAGGUGGGGACGACGUCAAGUCAUCAUGGCCCUUACGAGUAGGGCUACACACGUGCUACAAUGGCAUAUACAGAGGGCAGCAAGACCGCGAGGUGGAGCGAAUCCCACAAAGUAUGUCGUAGUCCGGAUUGGAGUCUGCAACUCGACUCCAUGAAGUCGGAAUCGCUAGUAAUCGUAGAUCAGAAUGCCACGGUGAAUACGUUCCCGGGCCUUGUACACACCGCCCGUCACACCAUGGGAGUGGGCUGCACCAGAAGUAGAUAGCUUAAC
This 647-nucleotide ribosomal RNA is filed under the name uncultured Gammaproteobacteria bacterium. Its description in RNAcentral is "bacterial SSU rRNA". It matches the Rfam family "Bacterial small subunit ribosomal RNA", at positions 792 to 1439 of the family's 1533-position model. The record is from RNAcentral. Lineage: Bacteria; Pseudomonadati; Pseudomonadota; Gammaproteobacteria.